RNAcentral lists this ribosomal RNA (253 nucleotides) under uncultured bacterium. RNAcentral's name for it is "partial 16S ribosomal RNA". It matches the Rfam family "Bacterial small subunit ribosomal RNA", at positions 524 to 776 of the family's 1533-position model. The record is from RNAcentral.
UACGUAGGGACCGAGCGUUGUCCGGAAUCAUUGGGCGUAAAGAGCGUGUAGGCGGCCAAUUAAGUCCUGUGUGAAAUCCCUGGGCUCAACCCAGGAACUGCGUCCGAUACUGGUUGGCUUGAAUCCGGGAGAGGAAUGCGGAAUUCCAGGUGUAGCGGUGAAAUGCGUAGAUAUCUGGAGGAACACCGGUGGCGAAGGCGGCAUCCUGGACCGGCAUUGACGCUGAGGCGCGAAAGCCAGGGGAGCAAACGGG